RNAcentral lists this ribosomal RNA (513 nucleotides) under uncultured bacterium. RNAcentral's name for it is "bacterial SSU rRNA". It matches the Rfam family "Bacterial small subunit ribosomal RNA", at positions 16 to 518 of the family's 1533-position model. The record is from RNAcentral.
AUCAUGGCUCAGGAUGAACGCUAGCUACAGGCUUAACACAUGCAAGUCGAGGGGCAGCAGGACGAUAGCUUGCUAUUGUCGCUGGCGACCGGCGCACGGGUGAGUAACGCGUAUCCAACUUCCCCUUAGUAGAGGAUAGCCCGGCGAAAGUCGGAUUAAUACUCUAUGUUGUAUUUUGAGGACAUCUGACGAAUACCAAAGAUUCAUCGCUAAGGGAUGGGGAUGCGUCUGAUUAGCUUGUUGGCGGGGUAACGGCCCACCAAGGCGACGAUCAGUAGGGGUUCUGAGAGGAAGGUCCCCCACAUUGGUACUGAGACACGGACCAAACUCCUACGGGAGGCAGCAGUGAGGAAUAUUGGUCAAUGGGCGAGAGCCUGAACCAGCCAAGUAGCGUGCAAGGAAGACUGCCCUAUGGGUUGUAAACUGCUUUUAUCAGGGAAUAAAGUUCGGCACGUGUGCUGUUUUGUAUGUACCUGAUGAAUAAGGACCGGCUAAUUCCGUGCCAGCCGCCGC